Molecule: transfer RNA, 86 nt
Organism: Trichinella britovi
Lineage: Eukaryota; Metazoa; Nematoda; Enoplea; Trichinellida; Trichinellidae
Rfam family: tRNA
About the family: Transfer RNA (tRNA) molecules are approximately 80 nucleotides in length. Their secondary structure includes four short double-helical elements and three loops (D, anti-codon, and T loops).
Source: Rfam
CCUCUGAUAGCUCAGUUGGUAGAGCGGUGGACUGUAGAUAAGAUUCAGAAAUCCAUAGGUCGCUGGUUCAAAUCCGGCUCAGAGGA